GGAUCCAACUCCACCCCCACAUUUUGCUAAAUAAAUGCCUUAACAAGGUGUUUCAUGACUUUUUUUCCCCUAAUUAGCUAUUAUCUAAAGUUUAAUAAAUAAGAUGGAGGAAACUCUUGUACAUUCUGUUCAUAAAAACAAAGAAGAAUGUUUUUAUUUUUUUUGUUUUGAAAAUAUAGAGGCAAGGAAGAAUGUUGAGUGUGAGACACGUCCUUUGAUAAUUACAAUAUUUAAUCCUAUCCAUGUGGAUCAUUGGGUUAUGAAGAGAACAAGCAAGAAAAAUAUUUUAUCACCUCAAAUGGAAGAGAGAGAGAAAAGAAAAUUCCAUUCAAAUUCUUGGUUGUUGCAUAUGCCUCCCUUUCCUUACUUCAUGGCAUGGCAUGAAGUGCAAGAAAACUAUAUAUAUUUUAUAUAUAUAAAACUAAGCAUCCAAAUCAUCGCAUAAGGGUUGACCUAACCCAAAUUUAUAACCAAAACUAGAUUAUAUAAAACAAAAUGGAAUGUUGAUUGUGUCAU
This 516-nucleotide unclassified non-coding RNA is filed under the name Hevea brasiliensis (rubber tree). Lineage: Eukaryota; Viridiplantae; Streptophyta; Magnoliopsida; Malpighiales; Euphorbiaceae. The record is from RNAcentral.